This 116-nucleotide ribosomal RNA is filed under the name uncultured eukaryote. Its description in RNAcentral is "partial small subunit ribosomal RNA". It matches the Rfam family "Bacterial small subunit ribosomal RNA", at positions 1410 to 1525 of the family's 1533-position model. The record is from RNAcentral.
GUUAGUUCUACCCGAAGAUGGUGCGCUAACCGCAAGGAGGCAGCCAGCCACGGUAGAGUCAGCGACUGGGGUGAAGUCGUAACAAGGUAGCCGUAGGUGAACCUGCAGAAGGAUCA